Vespula pensylvanica (western yellowjacket) is the source of this 1173-nucleotide long non-coding RNA. RefSeq lists it as uncharacterized. NCBI's taxonomy places the organism in Eukaryota, Metazoa, Arthropoda, Insecta, Hymenoptera, Vespidae. The record is from RefSeq and is a predicted model, not a curated record. The transcript has 2 exons.
UCUCUCUCUCUCUCUCUCACACACACACAUACAAAUACACACAGAGAGACGUAGGGUGCUCACGUACAAAACUCGAAGGGAAGAUUAAAUUGCAAACAAGUUUACGGAAAUCUUUUCUUUUCUUUCUGUUUCUUUUUGUUUCUUCACUUUUUAGUUUCAUUUCUUUUUUCUCGUUUAGCUUAUCCUCAAAAUAACGCUCCGAGUGUUUCGUAUUAUUUCAAUGAAUAAUUUUCUUAAUAAGAAUACAGAAUAUUAUUUUAACGAACGUUUCUACCUGCCAAGCAACAACUUUUUCUUCUUUUUUUUUUUUUUAUUGGCCACUCCCUUCUCACGACUUUUCACCAAUGCAACAACGGUCCCGUCAUAUUCUGUUGCUCGUUGACAAGCGUGUAAAGCCGAGAGCGGUCUCGUGUCGUCUGGCAGGAGAUAAAUAUACUUUUUCUUUGAGAGGAAAAAACAUAUAUAGACACAAACACACACAUAUAUAUGUAUAUAUAACAAAAGAAUCCUUCGUCUCGAUGAUUUUAAAAUACGACCACUUGCUCCGACCACUUCGGAAUGUUAGAGGACGUUUUUAGUUUGUUGAAAAAGAAAAGAUUGUGAUUUUAGGACACGCAUACAAUGUUUUAUAUGAAAUAAAACAUAAGUAUAAAAAAGUCAAUAUAACAAGUACAUUAUUUCGGUAUACCAUCAGAAACGAAGAGAGAGAAAGAGACAGGGAGUAACGUGGUAAUAAAACCGUAGUAAAGAAAGUUUACUCGGCUAAACGUGUUUGCUAAGAGUGCUCCCAAGGGUGAGAUAAAUGAAAUUUCUCGCGAAAAAGCUUAUCGUUAAUACAUAUACGCACACACGUAGAGAAAGAGACAUACGUACUAUACCAACGUUCUCUUUCGAACGUUAAUUCGCACUUCGCUUACAGGUAUCACCCAGUGGAUGAUGGUCUACGUCGAGUGGCGUGUUUCUGAUCAAAGAUACAACAAGCUUUAGCUCGAGUGUCCCGAGCUACAACAAGGAUGGAUCUUGAAUUGCUAUUUGCUCCAUAAGAGACAAUCAUCGUCACUAUAUACACGUAUUUUCAUCGUUCAUGCGUUAACAUAAUAACGAGAUCAUUAAAUGAUCAACGUUUUGUUGUUACAAAUAAUAACACAGAUCAUUAAAUGAUAAUGAAAUGAA